UGGGGAAUUUUGGACAAUGGGCGAAAGCCUGAUCCAGCAAUGCCGCGUGUGUGAAGAAGGCCUUCGGGUUGUAAAGCACUUUUGUCCGGAAAGAAAUCCUUGGCUCUAAUACAGUCGGGGGAUGACGGUACCGGAAGAAUAAGCACCGGCUAACUACGUGCCAGCAGCCGCGGUAAUACGUAGGGUGCAAGCGUUAAUCGGAAUUACUGGGCGUAAAGCGUGCGCAGGCGGUUUGCUAAGACCGAUGUGAAAUCCCCGGGCUCAACCUGGGAACUGCAUUGGUGACUGGCAGGCUAGAGUAUGGCAGAGGGGGGUAGAAUUCCACGUGUAGCAGUGAAAUGCGUAGAGAUGUGGAGGAAUACCGAUGGCGAAGGCAGCCCCCUGGGCCAAUACUGACGCUCAUGCACGAAAGCGUGGGGAGCAAACAGGAUUAGAUACCCUGGUAGUCCACGCCCUAAACGAUGUCAACUAGUUGUUGGGGAUUCAUUUCCUAGUAACGUAGCUAACGCGUGAAGUUGACCGCCUGGGGAGUACGGUCGCAAGAUU
RNAcentral lists this ribosomal RNA (546 nucleotides) under uncultured bacterium. Its description in RNAcentral is "partial 16S ribosomal RNA". It matches the Rfam family "Bacterial small subunit ribosomal RNA", at positions 355 to 895 of the family's 1533-position model. The record is from RNAcentral.